GAACUUAAGCAUAUCAAUAAGCGGAGGAAAAGAAACCAACAGGGAUUGCCUUAGUAACUGCGAGUGAAGCGGCAAAAGCUCAAAUUUGAAAUCUGGCGUCUUUGGCGUCCGAAUUGUAAUUUGGAGAGGCAACUUCGGAGAUGGUGCUGUCCUAAGUUCCUUGGAACAGGAUGACAUAGAGGGUGAGAUCCCCGUGCCUGGAUGGCUGUCCAUCUUCAUGUGAAUUGCCUUCGAAGAGUCGAGUUGUUUGGGAAUGCAGCUCAAAAUGGGUGGUAAAUUUCAUCUAAAGCUAAAUAUUGGCGAGAGACCGAUAGCGCACAAGUAGAGUGAUCGAAAGAUGAAAAGCACUUUGAAAAGAGAGUUAAAAAGUACGUGAAAUUGUUGAAAGGGAAGCGCUUGAGACCAGACUCGAUUCGUGGUGAUCAGCUGUGCUUCUGUACGGUGCACUCGCCAUGGAUUGGGCCAGCAUCGGUUCUGACGGUGGGAUAAAAGGUUGAGGAAUGUGUCUUCCUUCGGGGAGUGUUAUAGCCUCACUCACAAUGCCACCAGCUGGGACCGAGGACCGCGCUUCGGCUAGGAUGCUGGCGUAAUGGUCUUAAGCGACCCGUCUUGAAACACGGACCAAGGAGUCUAACAUCUAUGCGAGUGUUCGGGUGGAAAACCCUUGCGCGUAAUGAAAGUGAACGGAGGUGGGAACCCGCAAGGGUGCACCAUCGACCGAUCCCGAUGUCUUCGGAAGGAUUUGAGUAAGAGCAUAGCUGUUGGGACCCGAAA
Molecule: ribosomal RNA, 774 nt
Filed under: uncultured fungus
Lineage: Eukaryota; Fungi
Description: eukaryotic LSU rRNA
Rfam family: Eukaryotic large subunit ribosomal RNA
Source: RNAcentral